UUGAUCUGAUGGCAGCUGAAAGGGCAAAUGAGAAAGACUGUAAAUCAAGGAUAUGACAAAUGGGUGCUGCAUGGCAUCUGGGCAACUGUUCUAUCCUCAAUCAAGUGUCCAGUGCUCAAGAGUUGCCCAAAUACUGGCAAGAAGGUGGCAAGUCGAAGUUUUUUUCCCCCAUGAAUAUUUAUGUCGAUGCCUCAUUUGCUGACUGAAUUUCCACUCUGCUGGAAUUAUGCUUCCCCAUAGUGCACCC
This is a long non-coding RNA of Aquila chrysaetos chrysaetos, 247 nucleotides long. RefSeq lists it as uncharacterized. The record is from RefSeq and is a predicted model, not a curated record. The transcript has 3 exons. Lineage: Eukaryota; Metazoa; Chordata; Aves; Accipitriformes; Accipitridae.